This 1320-nucleotide long non-coding RNA is filed under the name Taeniopygia guttata (zebra finch). RNAcentral's name for it is "lncRNA (ENSTGUG00000021798.1)". Lineage: Eukaryota; Metazoa; Chordata; Aves; Passeriformes; Estrildidae. The record is from RNAcentral.
AUGUCACACAGCAAUGCCAUCUUGCUCAGGAGGGCCUGGCUCAUCCCUGCCCAUCAUGGGGGUUCUGCUGACCCAACCCAGCUCCUCCUGGCUCUGCCCUGUUUCUGGGACUCCAGCGUGUGCAGUGGCUGCCUCUGGAAUGGGGCACAUGGGUACAGGGGGUGUCCAGGCCAGCUCUGCUGCAGCAUCUCUGAGCACUCAAGCAAGGGAAUAUGCUGGGACCUAAAGCAGAGUGCAGAGUGGUGUGAUCUCUCGAGGGACAGGAGAUGGGCUGCACAAGGACCCCAGACAUGCUCUUUGGAGACACUGCCUAUGAACAUGAGGGGUCUGUGUACUUCCUUUUCCUGUUGGACCCUCUCCAUCACUGGUGUCUGGGCCUUGCUCUGUCUGCAUAACUCCAGCAUUGUGGGACUGGCUGUGCUGGCCUGGCACACACUAAGCAGUGUUUGUGAGGGCAGUGGGCUCUGGAGGCUGUCAGGGGGCUGCCUGACACCAGGGCAUCCCUUAGCUUCCCCCCUCAGAAGAAGGGCAGAGCAGAAGCUCCCUCACUCCUGGGUGUUGUUUCUGACUACCAACCUCUCACCUUAUCCAAGCAUCUUCCACUCCAUGGCCUCAUUACUCACCCUGAACAAAGGCAGCAGCCACCCUCCAUCCUUAGGGAGGGGGAUCUGCCUAUGCAUACCCCUGGAAGGCAGAUCUGCAGGAAAAGUGAUUGCUGAGGUGGCUUCAUGCCCUGAUCACUCUGCAUGGGGACCAGCACCUCCCAGCUAUCCUUGUGGCUGUGCACCCCUCCCCACAGGAGACACCUGGAGCAGCCCUGCACAGAUGUGCUUGGACAGUCUUAUCCAGCCUCCUCCCUGCUGCCUCAACCAUCAGCCUGGCCCUUUUGGGGACAUGCUCUCCCUGCCAAAGGCAAUGCAAGGUCUGGGUACCCCCAUGGUGGUCAUACCAGCUCUGCCAUGGGGUGUCCCCCAGCACGGCCUGUCCCCGUGGUGUGUGGGAGGCAGCGUGCAUGGGGGCCUGCUCCAGCCCCAUGGGAUGCUAUCCACACCCUCUGCCAGGCGCUGGGAGGAAGAUGAAGAGGGAGGAUCUGCCUCACUGCAAGGAUGCUCCAGGGAUGGCCAGAGGCGGCCAGGUCCUGCCUUCCCACCCCGAUGUGAGGGUGGCGUGGCUGAGCGCUGGUGCUGGCACUCAGCCACUGCCCCGGGCUCUGCCAGCGCCCCAGCCCUGGUGGCCGGGAGGACUGGCCGGGCCAGACCAGUGGCCAUGGGGCUGGGCCUGAGUCACAUCAAGCAAACUCGGGCAGCUUGUGGGGUAUGA